UAGGGAAUCUUCGGCAAUGGACGAAAGUCUGACCGAGCAACGCCGCGUGAGUGAAGAAGGUUUUCGGAUCGUAAAACUCUGUUGGUAGAGAAGAACGUUGGUGAGAGUGGAAAGCUCAUCAAGUGACGGUAACUACCCAGAAAGGGACGGCUAACUACGUGCCAGCAGCCGCGGUAAUACGUAGGUCCCGAGCGUUGUCCGGAUUUAUUGGGCGUAAAGCGAGCGCAGGUGGUUUAUUAAGUCUGGUGUAAAAGGCAGUGGCUCAACCAUUGUAUGCACUGGAAACUGGUAGACUUGAGUGCAGGAGAGGAGAGUGGAAUUCCAUGUGUAGCGGUGAAAUGCGUAGAUAUAUGGAGGAACACCGGUGGCGAAAAGCGGCUCUCUGGCCUGUAACUGACACUGAGGCUCGAAAGCGUGGGGAGCAAACAGGAUUAGAUACCCUGGUAGUCCACGCCGUAAACGAUGAGUGCUAGAUGUAGGGAGCUAUAAGUUCUCUGUAUCGCAGCUAACGCAAUAAGCACUCCGCCUGGGGAGUACGACCGCAAGGUUGAAAC
This 554-nucleotide ribosomal RNA is filed under the name uncultured bacterium. RNAcentral's name for it is "partial 16S ribosomal RNA". It matches the Rfam family "Bacterial small subunit ribosomal RNA", at positions 355 to 900 of the family's 1533-position model. The record is from RNAcentral.